This 97-nucleotide microRNA precursor is filed under the name Equus asinus (donkey). Its description in RNAcentral is "mir-544 microRNA precursor family". It matches the Rfam family "mir-544 microRNA precursor family". RNAcentral also lists the same sequence under 1 other name. The record is from Rfam by way of RNAcentral. Lineage: Eukaryota; Metazoa; Chordata; Mammalia; Perissodactyla; Equidae.
AUCCCCUGGGGGUCUCAUUAAAAUGCAGAUUCUGAUUCAAAGGUUUGGGAUGGAACCUGAGAUUCUGCAUUUCCAAUAAGCUCCCAAGUGAUGCUGA